Molecule: ribosomal RNA, 333 nt
Filed under: Microcystis sp. Ind74
Lineage: Bacteria; Bacillati; Cyanobacteriota; Cyanophyceae; Chroococcales; Microcystaceae
Description: bacterial SSU rRNA
Rfam family: Bacterial small subunit ribosomal RNA
Source: RNAcentral
GCGCAACCCUCGUUCUUAGUUGCCAGCAUUAAGUUGGGGACUCUAAGGAGACCGUGCCGGUGACAAACCGGAGGAAGGUGGGGAUGACGUCAAGUAGCAUGCCCUUACGUCUUGGGCCGACACACGUACUACAAUGGUCGGGACAAAGGUGCAGCGAACUCGCGAGAGCCAGCGAAUCCCAGCAAACCCGGCCUCAGUUCAGAUUGCAGGCUGCAAACUCGCCUGCAUGAAGGAGGAAUCUAGUAGAUCGCCGGUCAGCAUACGGCGGUGAAUUCGUUCCCGGGCCUUGUACACACCGCCCGUCACACACAUGGAAGCGGUCACGCCCGAAGU